RNAcentral lists this transfer RNA (76 nucleotides) under Felis catus (domestic cat). It matches the Rfam family "tRNA". From Rfam's summary of the family: Transfer RNA (tRNA) molecules are approximately 80 nucleotides in length. Their secondary structure includes four short double-helical elements and three loops (D, anti-codon, and T loops). Further hydrogen bonds mediate the characteristic L-shaped molecular structure. tRNAs have two regions of fundamental functional importance: the anti-codon, which is responsible for specific mRNA codon recognition, and the 3' end, to which the tRNAs corresponding amino acid is attached (by aminoacyl-tRNA synthetases). tRNAs cope with the degeneracy of the genetic code in two manners: having more than one tRNA (with a specific anti-codon) for a particular amino acid; and 'wobble' base-pairing, i.e. permitting non-standard base-pairing at the 3rd anti-codon position. The record is from Rfam by way of RNAcentral. Lineage: Eukaryota; Metazoa; Chordata; Mammalia; Carnivora; Felidae.
GCCUGGCUGGCUCAGUUGGUGGUAGAGCAUGCGACUCUUGAUCUCAGGGUUGUGAGUUGGAGCCCCACGGUGGGUA